Molecule: transfer RNA, 52 nt
Filed under: Oniscus asellus
Lineage: Eukaryota; Metazoa; Arthropoda; Malacostraca; Isopoda; Oniscidae
Description: tRNA-Pro
Source: RNAcentral
AGGCUAUAGUUUAAUUAAAAUAUUAGGUUUGGAUACUAAAGAUUCGUUUGGA